RNAcentral lists this ribosomal RNA (476 nucleotides) under Asiagomphus pryeri. Its description in RNAcentral is "partial 16S ribosomal RNA". It matches the Rfam family "Bacterial large subunit ribosomal RNA", at positions 1923 to 2608 of the family's 2925-position model. Lineage: Eukaryota; Metazoa; Arthropoda; Insecta; Odonata; Aeshnidae. The record is from RNAcentral.
UUUAACGGCCGCAGUAUUUUGACUGUGCAAAGGUAGCAUAAUCAUUAGUCUUUUAAUAGGGGGCUGGUAUGAAGGGUUUGACGAGGUGUUUACUGUCUCAUUUGGUUUGUAUUUAAAAUUUAACUUUUCAGUUAAAAGGCUGAAAUUAUAUUGGAAGACGAGAAGACCCUAUAGAGCUUUAUAAUUAAAAUUUUCAUUAUUCUUUGCUUAUUAUUUUUUAUUAUUAUUUUAAUUAUUUUGUUGGGGUGACAAAAAUAUAUAUUUAACUUUUUUAUUUAAUUAACAUUGAUUUAUGAUUAAUAGAUCCAUUAUUAGUGAUUGUUAGAUUAAGUUACCUUAGGGAUAACAGCGUAAUCUUCCUCCAGAGUUCAUAUUUACGGGAAGGCUUGCGACCUCGAUGUUGGAUUAAGAUAAUAGUUAGGUGUAGCCGCUUAAUGUGUAGGUCUGUUCGACCUUUAAAUUCUUACAUGAUCUGA